AGUGAGGAAUAUUGGGCAAUGGACGCAAGUCUGACCCAGCCAUGCCGCGUGGAGGAAGACUGCCCUAUGGGUUGUAAACUCCUUUUAUACAGGAAUAAUGGCAGAUACGAGUAUUUGUUUGAAUGUACUGUAUGAAUAAGCAUCGGCUAACUCCGUGCCAGCAGCCGCGGUAAUACGGAGGAUGCAGGCGUUAUCCGGAUUUAUUAGGUUUAAAGGGUGCGCAGGCGGCAUAUUAAGUCAGUGGUGAAAGUUUGCAGCUUAACUGUAAAAUUGCCAUUGAUACUGAUAGGCUUGAAUAUAGUAGAGGUAGGCGGAAUGUGUAGUGUAGCGGUGAAAUGCUUAGAUAUUACACAGAACACCGAUUGCGAAGGCAGCUUACUAUGCUAUUAUUGACGCUGAGGCACGAAAGCGUGGGUAGCGAACAGGAUUAGAUACCCUGGUAGUCCACGCCGUAAACGAUGAUUACUGGUUGUGAGCGAUACACAGUUCGUGACUGAGCGAAAGCAUUAAGUAAUCCACCUGGGGAGUACGUUCGCAAGAAUGAAACUCAAAGGAAUUGACGGGGGCCCGCACAAGCGGAGGAACAUGUGGUUUAAUUCGAUGAUACGCGAGGAACCUUACCUGGGCUUAAAUGUAUGGUGCAUAAGUUGGAAACAGCUUUUUCUUUCGGGACUCUAUACAAGGUGCUGCAUGGUUGUCGUCAGCUCGUGCCGUGAGGUGUCGGGUUAAGUCCCAUAACGAGCGCAACCCCUAUCGUUAGUUGCCAUCGGGUAAUGCCGGGGACUCUAGCGAAACUGCCGGUGUAAACCGAGAGGAAGGUGGGGAUGACGUCAAAUCAGCACGGCCCUUAUGUCCAGGGCUACACACGUGUUACAAUGGUCGGUACAAAGGGCAGCUACCUGGUGACAGGAUGCUAAUCUCAAAAGCCGGUCUCAGUUCGGAUCGGAGUCUGCAACUCGACUCCGUGAAGUUGGAUUCGCUAGUAAUCGUAGAUCAGCGAUGCUACGGUGAAUACGU
Molecule: ribosomal RNA, 1017 nt
Filed under: uncultured bacterium
Lineage: Bacteria
Description: bacterial SSU rRNA
Rfam family: Bacterial small subunit ribosomal RNA
Source: RNAcentral